RNAcentral lists this ribosomal RNA (501 nucleotides) under uncultured bacterium. RNAcentral's name for it is "bacterial SSU rRNA". It matches the Rfam family "Bacterial small subunit ribosomal RNA", at positions 30 to 526 of the family's 1533-position model. The record is from RNAcentral.
AUUGAACGCUGGCGGCAUGCUUUACACAUGCAAGUCGAACGGUAACAGGCCUUCGGGUGCUGACGAGUGGCGAACGGGUGAGUAAUGUAUCGGAACGUGCCCAGUAGUGGGGGAUAAAUACUCGAAAGAGUAGCUAAUACCGCAUAAUAUCUGCGGAUGAAAGUGGGGGACCGUAAGGCCUCAUGCUACUGGAGCGGCCGAUAUCAGAUUAGGUAGUUGGUGGGGUAAAGGCUCACCAAGCCUACGAUCUGUAGCUGGUCUGAGAGGAAGACCAGCCACGCUGGGGCUGGGAGCCGGCCCAGACUCCUACGGGGGGCGGCAGUGGGGAAUUUUGGACAAGGGGCGCAAGCCUGAUCCAGCAAUGCCGCGUGCGGGAUGAAGGCCUUCGGGUUGUAAACUUCUUUUGUACAGAGCGAAAAAGCUCUCUCUACUACAGGGGGUGAAUGACGGUACUGUAAGAAUAAGCACCGGCUAACUACGUGCCAGCCGCCGCUGUAAUAC